AGCGGAGGAAAAGAAACCAACAGGGAUUGCCCCAGUAACGGCGAGUGAAGCGGCAACAGCUCAAAUUUGAAAUCUGGUCCCCAGGGCCCGAGUUGUAAUUUGUAGAGGAUGCUUUUGGCGAGGCGCCUUCCGAGUUCCCUGGAACGGGACGCCACAGAGGGUGAGAGCCCCGUCUGGUCGGAUGCCAAGCCUAUGUAAAGCUCCUUCGACGAGUCGAGUAGUUUGGGAAUGCUGCUCAAAAUGGGAGGUAUAUGUCUUCUAAAGCUAAAUACCGGCCAGAGACCGAUAGCGCACAAGUAGAGUGAUCGAAAGAUGAAAAGCACUUUGAAAAGAGGGUUAAAAAGUACGUGAAAUUGUUGAAAGGGAAGCGCCUAUGACCAGACUUGGGCCCGGUGAAUCAUCCAGCGUUCUCGCUGGUGCACUUUGCCGGGCACAGGCCAGCAUCAGUUUGGCGCGGGGGACAAAGGCUUCGGGAAUGUGGCUCCCCUCGGGGAGUGUUAUAGCCCGUUGCGCAAUACCCUGCGCCGGACUGAGGUACGCGCUCCGCAAGGAUGCUGGCGUAAUGGUCAUCAGCGACCCGUCUUGA
This 586-nucleotide ribosomal RNA is filed under the name Parengyodontium album. RNAcentral describes it as "partial large subunit ribosomal RNA". It matches the Rfam family "Eukaryotic large subunit ribosomal RNA", at positions 49 to 657 of the family's 3401-position model. Lineage: Eukaryota; Fungi; Ascomycota; Sordariomycetes; Hypocreales; Cordycipitaceae. The record is from RNAcentral.